Long non-coding RNA from Anolis carolinensis (green anole), 5241 nucleotides. RefSeq lists it as uncharacterized. The record is from RefSeq and is a predicted model, not a curated record. Lineage: Eukaryota; Metazoa; Chordata; Lepidosauria; Squamata; Anolidae. The transcript has 2 exons.
CGAGUUUUCCAGGAUGCAUGGCCACCUUCCAGAAGCAUUCUCUCCUGACAUUUCGCCCACAUCUAUUUCAGGCAUCCCCAGAGGUUGUGAGGUUUGUUGGAAACUAGGCAAGGGAGGUUUAUAUCUCUGUGGAAGGUCCAGGGUGGAAGAAAGAACUCUUGUCUGUUGGAAAAAAGUGUGAAUGUUGCAAUUAGCAUUGAGAAGCCUCGCAGCUUCAAGGCCUGGCUGCUUGCUGCCUGGGGAAAUCCUUUGUUGGGAGGUGUUAACUGGCCCUGAUUGAGUCUUGUCUGGAAUUCUUUAUUUCCUAUCAUGAUUUUAGAGUUUUUUUAUUACUGGUAGUCAGACUGUGUUAGUUUUCAUGGCUUCCUUCUUUCUGUUGAAAUUGUCCACAUGCUUGUGGACUUCAAUGGCUUCUCUGUGUAGUCUGACAUGGUGGUUGUUAGAGUGGUCCAGCAUAUUUGCAUUCUCAAAUAAUAUGCUAUGUUCAGGUUGGUUCAUCAAGUCAUCAAGACUUAUCUGGUUGAGUUAAUCUGGUUGAGUUAGUUCCUUGAUUCGUGUCUAGUGGUCCUUAUGUAGACUUGUUCACAGUUGCCUGGUAUACGUAAACUCCUGCAGAGGGGAGAGGAUCCCUGUUGUCCUUUGCUCUCAGCUUUGUCAUAGCAAAUUUCUUCAUGGAGCACUUUGAAAAACACGCCGUGGAAACAGCAACAAAAAGUUCACUAUAUCAGUGGUUCUCAACCUGUGGGUCCCCAGGUGUUAUGACCUAUAACUCCCAGAAAUCCCAACCAGUUUAACAGCUGCUAGGAAUUUUUGGGAGUUGAAGACCAAAACAUCUGGGGACCCACAGGUUGAGAACCACUGCACUAUAUGGUUCAGGUUUGUGGAUGAUACCUUCGCCAUUUUGGAGCCAUGGAGGAGAAGAACUAAACAAGUUCAUGGACCACCUCAACAGCAUCCAUCCAAACAUCUGAUUCAUCAUGGAAAAAGAAAAUGAAGAAAAACUGCCAUUUCUAGAUGUCCCAGUCACCCGCAAACCUAAUCAAAAAUUGGGCCACACGGUUUACAGAAAACCUACGUACACAGAUAGAUACCUACAUAAAAACUCCAACCAUCACUGAAGUCAAUAAAGAAGCACAUUCAAAGCCUUGGCAGAUCGUGCAAAAAUAAUCUGUGAAUCUCACCUCCAAGAAGAACUGAACAAUCUAAACUGGGUUUUCCAGGCCAAUGGAGACUCCACCACAGACAUUAGAAGAGCCGCAAGACCAAGAACAAACCAUGAGAAUAGAAGCAAAGAUCCACUCAGAGGAAAAGUGUUCUUACCAUAUGUCAAGGGAACCACUGACCGCAUAGGGAAGCUGAUAAAGAAACACAUCCUACAUGGGAAUAGUUGCCUCAAUAGCCCUUUUGGGAAGGAGUGGAUUCAGAGCUCUGCUACACCAUUCGUUGCCUCAAGUGACAGAUAGGGGGUGCAUCUACACUGUGGAAUUAACACAGUUUGACACUCCUUGAGUGGCCAGGGCUCAAGGCCAUGGGAUGUUCAGAGUUGUAGUUUGGGAAAGAAGUGAGAUGGGCAGAGAAGGUGAAAGGCCUGGCAAGACUACAACCUGUAGGACCUCAUAGUAUUGAUCCUAUAGUAUUAAUUCUAUAGAAUAGAUGCAUCUUUGGAUGGCACCAAGUAGAAGCAAAGUAUUAAUUUUGUAUGGUAGGACUCAGCAUGGUGCGUUGUUGAGCAAGGACUCUGGGACUCUGUGCCUAGAAAACAUGCAUUUACUACCGAUGAGCACUGAGCUGCCAUGGAGUGGAACAGAAUAGGAGCCAAAGGGUGCAUCUACACUGUAGAAUGAAUGCAGUUUGAUGCCAGGGUUGUUGUAUGUUUUCCGGGCUGUAUGGCCAUGUUCCAGAAGUAUUCUCGCCUGACGUUUCACCCAAUCUCUGAGGAUGCCUGCCAUAGAUGUGGGCGAAACGUCAGGAGAGAAUACUUUUGGAACAUGGCCAUACAGCCCGGAAAACAUACAAAAACCCUGUGAUCCUGGCCAUGAAAGCUUUCAACAACACAGUUUGAUGCCACUUUUAUUGCUAAAGCUCAAGGCUGUGGAGUCAUGGGAGCUGUCGUUUAGCAGAGAAGGCUCAAGAGACUGUAAAACUACAAUGCCUAUGAAUAACAGAAUCAUAGAAUCAUAGAGUUGAAAGAGACCACAUCUACGCCAACCCCCUGCCAUACAGGAAAAGCACAAUCAAAAUAUUCCUGACAGAUGGCCAUCCAGACUCUGUUUAAAUGUUUCCAAGGAAGGAGUUUCCACCACACUCUGAGGCAGAGAGUUCCUCUGUUGAACAGCUCAUACGGUCAGGAAGUCUUAAUGUUCAGGUGGAAUCUCCUUUCCUGUAAUUUAAACCCAAAUCCCAUUCCAUUGCAUUGAGCCAUGGCAGCUAAAGUGGUGCCAAGUUGCAUUUAUUCCACAAUGUAGAUUCACCCACAGUUGCUAGAAUAUUCAAAACAGCGCCAGGGGAUUCUGGGAAUUGUAAUCCUCAAAGCUUUGACAGUUUUUCCAAGUUCUCCCUCCUCCCUAUGACUUCCCCUCACAUAUUUGUACAUGGCUAUCAUGCUGAGAGGAGACAUGAUAGCCAUGUACAAAUAUGUGAGGGGAAGUCAUAGGGAGGAGGGAGCAAGCUUGUUUUCUGCUGCCCUGCAGACUAGGACACGGAACAAUGGCUUCAAACUACAGGAAAGGAGAUUCCACCUGAACAUUAGGAAGAACUUCCUCACUGCGAGAAGGGCUGUUCGGCAGUGGAACUCUCUCCCCUGGACUGUGGUGGAGGCUCCUUCUUUGGAGGCUUUUAAGCAGAGGCUGGAUGGCCAUCUGUCGGGGGUGCUUUGAAUGCGAUUUCCUGCUUCUUAGCAGGGGGUUGGACUGGAUGGCCCAUGAGGUCUCUUCCAACUCUACUAUUCUAUGAUUCUAUGAUUCUGAUUUUGAUGGGUGCCAAAUCUUUCUCCCUACAGCCAACAUCUGGAAUCUGCUGCCUGAAGUGUCAUGAAGAGCAACCUAACUAGGGCUGGAUUUGCACUUCCUGAUAUCUCAGUAUCUUAUCACAGAUGAUCUACUUAUCCCAGAUUAUAUGGCAGUGAAGACUCAUAUAAUCCAGUUCAAAGCAGAUAAUCUGGGGUCAGAUCCUGGAAUAUCGGGAAGCAUAGGAUUUAUAGAUCUCAGGGUCUGAGCCUCCAGUUUUCAUAGGGCAUCUCCAGCUGGGUGCCAGGAGCAGAUCGAGAUAACAGGAAACGGUUAUGAGCAAAUCUUCAGAGCAACUGCUUGCCACAAUGUCAGGGUUUAAUUUAUUUGUUUCUGCAACCUGUACAGUUUCUCCAAGCCACCGCUUUCCUCCCAGUCAAUGCACUGCACAAAUUCAGUCUUUUCUUCUGCCAUAUAUUCGACCAUAUAUUCGACAGCUUUUUUUACUUAGGCAGGUCUUUGGUUUGUUAAUUUGCUUCAACAGAUGUCUUGUGUCUGGAUUUUAUUAUUGCUUCAUUGUGUCUGGAUUUUAUUAGAUUUUGAAUGUGCUUUUAAAAGUUAUUGUAACGUGUUUUUAAAAAUAGAAUUGCUGCUUAAUUGUCUUUUAACUUUUGCAUUAAGAGUUUUUAGUUGUACGUGGGUUUCAAUGGUUGUCGGCUGCCUUGAAUCUAGUGCAGAGAGAGAGGAGAAGGUAUAAAUGAGAUGUAUUAGUAAGUAAAUAAACAAACUCAGCCUAGUAAUAAUAUUCUGAGUUUCAUUAUAUUGCAAGGGCCUCCUUUAGAUGGACAGUGCUUCAGCUGUGAUGUAUACAACUAAUAUUCAUCUUUUCUAAGCAUCUUAACAUUAUCCUACGGGGUUGCGGUGAGUUUUCUGGGCUGUCUGGCCAUGUUCCAGAAGCAUUCUCUCCUGAUUUCACCCACAUCUAUGGCAAGCAUUCUCAGAGGUUGAGAGGUUUGUUGGAAAUUAGGCAAGUGGGAGAAAGAACUCUUGUCUGUUUGAAGCAGGUGUGAAUGUUGCAACUGGCAAGCUUGAUUAGCACUGAAUAGCCUGGCAAUUAAAACCUGUCUGUUUCCUGUCUGGGGGAAUUCUUUGUUGGGAGGUGUUAUCUGGUCCUGAUUGCUUCCUGUCUAGAAUUUCCCUGUUUUCUGAGUGUUGUUCUUUAUUUACUGUCCUGAUUCUAGAUUUUUUAAAAUGCUGCUAGCCAGAUUUUGUUCAUUUUCAUGAUUUCCUCCUUUCUGUUGAAAUUGUCCACAUGCUUGUGAAUUUCAAUGGCUUCUUUGGCAACAUUGUGCUCACUGACAAUCACCAUGUCAGACUACACAGAAAAAACUGCCAUAGAUGUGGGUGAAACAUCAGGAGAUAAUGCUUCUGGAACCAUACAGCCUGGAAAACUCACAGCAACCCAGCAAAACAAAUGUUACAGGGUGUUAACGGCUCGGGCCCUACCUAUCUCCGUGAUCACAUCUCCUCCUAUGAACCUUGAGAUCUUCCGGGGAGGCUCUUCUCGCGCUCCCACCACCGUCUCAAGUGCGGCUGGUGGGGACGAGGGAACGAGCCUUCUCGGCAGUGCCCCCCCCCCCCCCCCCCCGGCUCUGGAAUGCAUUGCCAAAAGAGAUCAGGCAAUCCCCUACAUUAUCCAAUUUCCAUAAGGAACUGAAGACCUGGUGGUGUCGGCAGGUUUUUGAGUAAUUACAUUGGACUACCGCUGAUUUCUGGGCCUGAAUAUAUUGCACAAGAUUUCCCUAGCCUAAAAUGAUACAUUUUAAUAUAUUGGUUUUAUGGUUCACGUCCCGUUGAUCUGGUCAUUUCACGGAACGGAAAAGAGAUCUCAUGGGAAUGUGCCGUUCUGGCGUGACACCCCUCUCACAAGAAGACCACUAUUGGAACGGAGUGGGCAGCCAAAGGUGAAACUGCCUUGAAGUGCUGGGGGAAUCGUGGAAGAAAUCGCCCUGUUGAUGCAAGGGCUGGAUCUGUGUGGGAGUUUUCAUUAACUCCAGAAAUGGAUGGCUGCUUCGGGUGGUGGAAACGCACACUUGAUAGCUUUUGCGCUGGCAGUUCCCCCAUGCCCCAUCAUGUCAUGUUCAGUAUCGGAGCUGUUGGCACUCCACACACGUCUCCAAACGCAGCCGAUAUUUCACUGGCCUUGGGGCAGGGAAAUUAAACAGGGGAGGGCUUGCUUGUUGUUGUUCCUCCUGGUAUGACAUCCAGUGCUUUUAAUAAAGUGAGAGUGACCCUA